This 557-nucleotide ribosomal RNA is filed under the name Thermoproteota archaeon. Its description in RNAcentral is "bacterial SSU rRNA". It matches the Rfam family "Archaeal small subunit ribosomal RNA", at positions 1 to 565 of the family's 1478-position model. Lineage: Archaea; Thermoproteati; Thermoproteota. The record is from RNAcentral.
GCUCCGGUUGAUCCUGCCGGACCCGACUGCUAUCAGAGUGGGACUAAGCCAUGCGAGUCGACGUAGCAAUGCGUGGCGAACGGCUCAGUAACACGUAGUCAACAUGCCCAGGGGACGUGGAUAACCUCGGGAAACUGAGAAUAAACCACGAUAGGUCACGAUUUCUGGAAUGGAUCAUGGCCUAAAUCUACAUGGCCCCUGGAUUGGACUGCGGCCGAUCAGGCAGUUGGUGAGGUAAUGGCCCACCAAACCUAUAACCGGUACGGGCUCUGAGAGGAGAAGCCCGGAGAUGGGCACUGAGACAAGGGCCCAGGCCCUAUGGGGCGCAGCAGGCGCGAAACCUCUGCAAUAGGCGAAAGCCUGACAGGGUUACUCUGAGUGAUUUCCGCUAAGGGGAUCUUUUGGCACCUCUAAAAAUGGUGCAGAAUAAGGGGUGGGCAAGUCUGGUGUCAGCCGCCGCGGUAAUACCAGCACCCCGAGUGGUCGGGACGAUUAUUGGGCCUAAAGCAUCCGUAGCCGGUUCUGCAAGUCUUCCGUUAAAUCCAGCCGCUCAACGG